CAAGUGUGAGAGACUGUGAGACUGUCAGUAACCGCUGCUCUUCUCGUCGACUUACAUUUGUUAAUGAGCAGAUGUGGUGGUGGAAAGGCCACGAUAGACCUUCCUCCUAAACUGAACCACAUCAGAUGAUUCGGGAUGCGGAAGAGAAGGGAGACUAUACAUUUUCAUACAUUGUCAAGGUCGCGUACAACCGUGGCCUUCGAAGGGACCCAUGAUGUUGAACUUAUCUUGCACGACAGACUGACAGCUUUAGAAUGGAGGGAGGAAGAACUUCAACCAGGAAUGCAGUUUUCAAGCGGCGGUUCAGCCUGCAAGA
This is a long non-coding RNA of Macrobrachium nipponense, 316 nucleotides long. RefSeq lists it as uncharacterized. The transcript has 3 exons. NCBI's taxonomy places the organism in Eukaryota, Metazoa, Arthropoda, Malacostraca, Decapoda, Palaemonidae. The record is from RefSeq and is a predicted model, not a curated record.